This 253-nucleotide ribosomal RNA is filed under the name uncultured bacterium. RNAcentral's name for it is "partial 16S ribosomal RNA". It matches the Rfam family "Bacterial small subunit ribosomal RNA", at positions 524 to 776 of the family's 1533-position model. The record is from RNAcentral.
UACGUAGGGUGCGAGCGUUGUCCGGAAUUACUGGGCGUAAAGAGCUCGUAGGUGGUUUGUCGCGUUGUUCGUGAAAACUCACAGCUUAACUGUGGGCGUGCGGGCGAUACGGGCAGACUAGAGUACUGCAGGGGAGACUGGAAUUCCUGGUGUAACGGUGGAAUGCGCAGAUAUCAGGAGGAACACCGGUGGCGAAGGCGGGUCUCUGGGCAGUAACUGACGCUGAGGAGCGAAAGCGUGGGGAGCGAACAGG